Molecule: ribosomal RNA, 505 nt
Filed under: uncultured bacterium
Lineage: Bacteria
Description: partial 16S ribosomal RNA
Rfam family: Bacterial small subunit ribosomal RNA
Source: RNAcentral
AGUGAACGCUGGCGGUAGGCCUAACACAUGCAAGUCGAACGGCAGCACAGGAGAGCUUGCUCUCUGGGUGGCGAGUGGCGGACGGGUGAGGAAUACAUCGGAAUCUACUCUGUCGUGGGGGAUAACGUAGGGAAACUUACGCUAAUACCGCAUACGACCUACGGGUGAAAGCAGGGGACCUUCGGGCCUUGCGCGAUUGAAUGAGCCGAUGUCGGAUUAGCUAGUUGGCGGGGUAAAGGCCCACCAGGCGACGAUCCGUAGCUGGUCUGAGAGGGUGAUCAGCCACACUGGAACUGAGACACGGUCCAGACUCCUUCGGGAGGCAGCAGUGGGGAAUAUUGGACAAUGGGCGCAAGCCUGAUCCAGCCAUACCGCGUGGGUGAAGAAGGCCUUCGGGUUGUAAAGCCCUUUUGUUGGGAAAGAAAUCCAGCUGGCUAAUACCCGGUUGGGAUGACGGUACCCAAAGAAUAAGCACCGGCUAACUUCGUGCCAGCCGCCGCGGUAA